Nycticebus coucang (slow loris) is the source of this 3847-nucleotide long non-coding RNA. RefSeq lists it as uncharacterized. The record is from RefSeq and is a predicted model, not a curated record. The transcript is spliced from 8 exons. Lineage: Eukaryota; Metazoa; Chordata; Mammalia; Primates; Lorisidae.
UAAGCACACAUUUUCUCCUUAGACUUCACUAAGAAAUCCUCACAUUGUGUUAUGGUCUAUUUGUCUCUCUCCCGCAUUAUUACCUGUCCCCAUAUCAGAUGAUUCUCAGAAGCAUACAAGUCACCUGCAUGUGUCCUUUGUCCCCGUCUAGAAUAUUCCCAGCAGAAUAUUGUUAAAAUGCAAGUCACAUCAGGACAUACCUCCCUCAAAAGCCUCCUUCUUUUCUCACUCAGAAUAAAAUCCUAAAACCCUGUAAUGGCCAAAAGGCCCCACAGGAUCUGGCCCUCUGACCCCAGCUGCUGCUGUUCCUCUGUCCUCACACUGCUGUAGACGAGCUGGCCUGCUCAGUCCUCACUUGCCAACACUCAUUGGCAUUUACUAUACCCUCUCCCUGGAAUAUUCUUUCCCAAGCUUUCUGAAAAGCUCAUUUCCUUUAUGCUUUUGCUCAGAUGCCACCUUAUCAGAGAGGCCAUGCCUGAACUUCACAGAAUAUUCUUCCUCUCCGUACUCCCUGACCCUCCCAGACUACCCGUGUUUCCCCUUUGCACUUGUCACCAGAUGCUGCACUCUGCAUUGAGCACUUUACUGUCCGUCUCUCCACUAUAAAACGAGAGGGGUCUCAGACUUCCCUAGAGCAGGGACUUGGUAGGUUUAGCUCUGCUAGAUUCCCAGCUCCUGGAGUGAUGCCUGGCACUCAGCUCACAAAAUAUUUGUUGAAUAAUUGAAUUUUACUUCUAUCCCUGAAUAAUCCACAAUCUCUACAUCACAAAAACAGUUGAAGUGAAGAAACUCCACUUAUACCUCUGAGUAUAAUUGUUCCUCAAUUCAAGUUUUAUUUACUCCAAGAACUCUUCUUUUUUUAAAAAAAACCUCCUCCAUACCAACCAUCCUCUUGCUUUAAUGCUUGAAAUAAUGCUGAGGAAAGAGGAUGAGCUUUGGCCUCCGAGGGACCAGUUCUAAACUCCAACUCUCAACUUGUGAGCUUUAGGGACAAAGGACUGAAUAGUUCCAAUCUCAGUUUCAGUUUUCAGGAGCAGCUCCCUCAGAUAGUUACUGAGAAAUAAAAUUAACACAUUUAUGUAAAACUUUCAACAUAUAAAUACUACAUAACUCUUUUUAUGAUUUGUUUUAUAAUAUUUAUAGCUACAUUUAUUUUUAAAUUAUUUCCUUUAUACCUGUUUUUGCAUUCUUCACUAAAUUAUAUACUUCUGAUUCAAGAACAGUCAUUUAUUCCUUUUUGUACUCUUAAAGAGUAGACUCAACAAAUACUUGAAUGGUUACUAUUUUCUUUUGUUGUACAUGGCAGACUCUAAUAUGGAAAAUGCCACCAAGGUACCUAGUACAAUUCUAGAUGAAGUUGCUAGAAAAAGAGACCCACCAAAGAGAGAGAUAAAAGGAUUCACUGUGUCACCUGCCCAGGGGAGAGUGACUUUGGCUCUGCCUUUACUAAAGCAAUAGUGAUGGAUGAGCAGUAAUUCCAGUCAUUCCUGUGUGAAUCUGAACUGUUCCUGUAAAAUGUGACAAUCCCUUUUUGUUUGUUUAUUUUUUGGGUCCAAAAGUUCUGCCAGUGGUACUGGGAAAUGAAUGAAUUCUGUUUUCAUGUGCAUCCUUGUGUGUAUUAAGAUGAAUGGAUUAAAUCAGAACUUCCUGCCACAUAAAUCAUCCCAAGGAAACACCACUUCUGCCUCUUACAUAGGCAUUCGGGAACCUGGAGCUGCAAGCAAGUAUCAAAACUGCCCACCAAUAUUAGCCCUCGAUCAAUGCAGAAGGCAAUACUUAAUGCAGUAUUUGUGGCAUUUUCAUUGUACCAUGGACCGAAACAGAGAAAUCUGGUGAUAUUGUCAUACCAACAUCACCACUUUAGGGCAAAGGCUUAUGGUGGGCGAGGUCUGUUUGCAGACCUCCUAGUUGGCUGGCUUGGUCCUCCUUUCUAGGAAUUACCUGAGGACAUAGUCUGUGUUUGUAUAUGGAAGCACGUGUUUUGAUAUGUCUGCACCUUUAGGUGGAGAUUGACAGAGGCCUGCAGAGAUUUUUGUAAAGUCACUUGCUAUGCCUGUAGCUUUGAGCUAUUACCUUGACCUCUUGUGGAGCUGGAGUUGUGUUGGGUACUACAUAUCUACUUGAAUGACUCCCAACAAAAAUUCUGGAUACAAAGCUUAAAUGCACUUCCCUGGUUGACAACACUUGGCGUGUGUUGUAAUAAAUCCUUGCUGGGAGAAUUACACACUGUCAUGCCAUUCUACUGGAGAAGAUAGCCAGAAGCCCAUGCUUGACCUCUCCUGAACAUGACCCGGGUCUUUUCAGAGGUAACCAAGUUAACAUGAGGACAUAGGCAGAGACACGGGAGAAAGACAGCCAAGAUAAGCCAAGGAGAAGGGGUUUGAGUAGAUCCUUCCCUGACAGCCCCAGGAGAAACCAGCUCUACCGACCGACCCCUUGACUUUGAACCUUUGGUCUCCAGAACAGUGAGACAGAUUCUGAGAAAAUCAUUUAAAAACAAAUGAGGGAAGGAAAUCAGCCCACUCUGUUUCUGACCUUGCCAGUUUUAACAGCAGCCCCGUAUCCAGUGGAAAAUCCGCAGCCGAUUAAACAGACUUUCUCAGGAGGAGCGGCAUCGUGGAUCUUGGCAACGGAAGAUUCAUCCACCACCGUGUACUCGGUAAACGUGCUGGUGUUCAUGAAGUGAUAGACCGGCUUGCCCUUGCAGAUGCAAUAGACUAAGAAAACUUCCAUUGGUGUAUCAUUAACUCACAAACCACAAAUUUGUAUUGAAUUGCUAAAUAAAUCACACAGCAAUGGUGAAGAAAUGAGACAGUUGAUGUGGAUGGUCUUUGUUAUGGGCUGAAUUGUGUCCCUCUCCAAAUUUAUGUGUUGAAGUCCUAAUCUUCAGUACUUCGGAAGGUGACUAUUUGGAGAUAAGGUGGCUCAUCCUAGGAAUUAUAGGUGGUGUGACUUAAUCCAAUAUGACUUGUCUUUAUAAGAAGAGGAGAUUAGAACACAGAUACCAUACAAAGGAAAGGACAUGUGAAGACACAGAGAGAAGGCCAUCUACACUCCAAAAACCCAACCAUGCUGACACCUGAUCUUAGAAUUCUAGACUCCAGAUCUAUGAGAAAAUAAAUUUCUGUUAUGGCUCUACCAAACUGGCAACAAUUAUUAUUUACUUAUCUAGCGAAAAACGAAACAUUUAUUAUACAGAAAAAAAAAUGUAAUCUCCAAUUAAAGGGGACCUCUUCUUUCAUGAGCUACACCAGAACACUAAAGGAAUUUGGGAAAUACAUAACCCUAUGUAGCCACACUAUUAUCUCUAUAAAGCUUGUAUGCUCUUUAUAUGUUAUAUACUGAGUCAUUAAUUAUAAUUGAAAAGUUGAGGCUACUGAGUUCCCCACCACUAGAAAUAUUCUCACCAUGGCUGGACAUCCGCUUUGCAUAGACAGCAUAACUAGACCUGAUGCAUGCACCUAAAGCUGCACAUUUUUCAGAUUUCUUCCAACUUUAAGGUUCAUUAAUAUCCCUGGGUAGAGUUGCUAGCUUCUGUAGUGUAAAAUUAAUUCCCCAAGUAAUCUGGUUUUGCUGAAUGUCUGACUCAAAGUAGAAUGCUUUCAUUCUAUUUUUAUUUAAUUCUAAGAAAAAUCAUUUCAAGUUUUAGGGCCUCUUGAUUUGAUAAAGAUGACUCCAAAUGUUAUCUUUAUUUUCCUAAAAACCUUAAGGUUGGCUAAAUGCAAAGUGUUUAAAUAAGAACAAAACAAACAAAAACAUCUAACACUUGAAGCAAUUGUGUGCCCAUGUGAAAGGAAGAACUACGCUGAUUUACUUGCAAAUUUAAAUAAAUGAAAGUUAUUUCUGA